CGACCGGCGCACGGGUGAGUAACACGUAUGGAACCUGCCCUAUGCAGGGGGAUAAGCGGAAGAAAUCCCGACUAAUACCGCGUAACGCCGCGGACCUGCAUGGGUCUGCGGCCAAAGGAAGCGAUUCCGGCGGGGGAUGGGCAUGCGGCGCAUUAGCUAGUCGGCGGGGUAACGGCCCACCGAGGCGACGAUGCGUAGGGGUUCUGAGAGGAAGGUCCCCCACACUGGUACUGAGACACGGACCAGACUCCUACGGAAGGCAGCAG
This 266-nucleotide ribosomal RNA is filed under the name uncultured bacterium. RNAcentral's name for it is "partial 16S ribosomal RNA". It matches the Rfam family "Bacterial small subunit ribosomal RNA", at positions 92 to 354 of the family's 1533-position model. The record is from RNAcentral.